CCAGACUCCUACGGGAGGCAGCAGUGGGGAAUAUUGCACAAUGGGGGGAACCCUGAUGCAGCGACGCCGCGUGGGUGAAGGAGCGUUUCGGCGCGUAAAGCCCUAUCGGCAGGGAAGAAGGAGGACGGUACCUGACUAAGAAGCCCCGGCUAACUACGUGCCAGCAGCCGCGGUAAUACGUAGGGGGCAAGCGUUAUCCGGAUUUACUGGGUGUAAAGGGAGCGUAGACGGCAUGGCAAGUCUGAUGUGAAAACCCGGGGCUCAACCCCGGGACUGCUUUUGAAACUGUACAGCUUGAUUGCAGGAGAGGCAAGUGGAAUUCCUAGUGUAGCGGUGAAAUGCGUAGAUAUUAGGAGGAACACCAGUGGCGAAGGCGGCUUGCUGGACGGUAACUGACGUUGAGGCUCGAAAGCGUGGGGAGCAAACAGGAUUAGAUACCCUGGUAAG
RNAcentral lists this ribosomal RNA (447 nucleotides) under uncultured bacterium. RNAcentral's name for it is "partial 16S ribosomal RNA". It matches the Rfam family "Bacterial small subunit ribosomal RNA", at positions 331 to 793 of the family's 1533-position model. The record is from RNAcentral.